CCCCAUCGCUCCUCUCUCGCUCGUCUCUCCCUCUCCCCCGCACCACUUCUCGCCGCCGCCACCACCGACGGCGCCCGAUCCCGCCCGAUUCCAGCGUCCUCCGGCGCGCCCAGCACACCACCGUGCCCCCCUCUCAACGCUCCUUCCUCCCAUCGGGCCAGAUCCGGCGGGCGUGUCCUCCAGCGGCCAAGCGUGACCCUGCCCAGCAGCUAGGGUUUGGGCCAGCACAUCGCCGGCGUGGCUCCGGCGUUGCUCUGGUGACUUAGGUGAGUCCCUCCACUCCUCAUCGUCACAUCAUCUCGUCUCCCUCGCAGAUCUAGCGCACCGUAGCCGCUCGAGCACCGGGACGCCAUGGAUGGGAAGGCUUCUUCCUCCCCUGUCCCGAUGCCAUGAACGACGCAGCUCCACCAGACAGAGCUCCUUAUCCCGCAUCACUCAUGGAGCCUCCCUCUCAGCGCCCGGAGCCCUAGAGAGAAAGGAAUUCAAGGCCAUGGCUGGAGAGAGGAGCUGCUCCUAGUACAGGACGCCAUGGAAGGUGCUGCUCUGAUGAGGAGAAUCUGCUGCUGUAGGACGUCCUCCUCCCAUCCCCUACCCCCACACAUGGUGAGCUCCUAUGCAUAUGUGGAUAAUCAGGAACUAAUGUUUAAUUGGUUACUUCAUAAUCUGUUCCACUGUAUGCAUGAACGCUCACACAUUUUUUCCUGCCAUUUAUAUACAUAACUAUUGGACAGUGAGAAGAUUUCCGUUGUGUGCAUGAAUGUGCUUUUUUUCUCGUCAAUCCAUCUCUUAUCAUGCAUACAUCCUAUCAUAUAUUAUAUGAUAAAUCUUUUAGUUGCUCACUGUCUAUAGGUGCUCAAAUUUUUAGAUUCCAUAGAACUUCUGUUUGUAGUGAAAAAAGGGUAUAUGCAGCUUUUAAUCAAUGUCUAUUUAAAUCAAUAGAAUACAUAUUGAGUAUAUGUGUUCAUUGCAUCAUGUCGAAUUACUUUUCUGUUUAAAGAAGUAAUUACUUCUGUAUGUUGUGAUGCAUCCCAUAGUAGUUUGCACCCAGCAACCAACCAAGGGCUGAUGCAAUAUAUGUUACCAUGUAUAUUACCAGGUAUUUUUGCUUAGGCGCAAUCAUACUUAUGUAGUAGUAAAUAACCUGUCAUGUCAUUCUUCAAGUCUGCACAUAGCACUGUUAUUUUAGAAGCAGAUUUCUCAUCCUUCAGAAACCUGAACUUGCUUAAUAGCCAAUUUAGCAGAGUAUUACCAGUUCCUUGAUGUCAUUUCUGGUAUCCAAUCAUAUGACAUGUCUCGCGUAAAUAAAUAUGGGUCGUUGUCAAUUUUUUAAUCUACAAUUGAUCUAGUGUUUUUUACAUGGUAGCUUGAUAUCCUCCAUCCUUUUCUAAUAUUAAAACUUCAAAUAUGUGAGGUGCAUAAGUGCAUGAGGUGCGGUUCACCUUAGGCUGCUACCGCUCGUCAGCGGUCUGGUCCAGCGUCACUUAACCAUUGUGACCUGGCUGGUUUGGUUCAGCUUUGAGCUGCCCACCAUGGAGUGGGAGGCCGACAUGCUGAUGAACAUCAACACAGGAUCAAGUACGCUGGUGCACCGCGGCGUGCGGCGGCCUAUAUUCUUGUAGUGGUAUUGUAUAUGGUCUCAUCCAGCACCGAGUAUCCAUAUGUUGUUCUAAUCCUGAUGAUGAUGUUGUAGCAUAAAGUGGACACCAUAUUCAGUUUGUCUUGAUGCUUUAUAUCUUGUGGUUCUUGUCUGAUGCACAUUGUUCUUUGCAGGGUUAUGAUGAUAUUUCCAAGGAAAUAUACUGACCCUGAUGCGACAAAGGUGUCCAUUUUCCCUUUCUUGAACUUUUUUACUCUGUUAUUUGUUCUUCCUGUAGUUCCAGUUUCACAUUGCUGGUGUUUCAUGCAAUAUUCAUCAGAUCCUUCUUACAUGCCUUAUUAUUGAGUAACUUGAUUAGUAUUUCUGCCACUGUCCUAUCUCAGUAAACUGUUUGUUUUUUCAGUACCUAAAAAAGAAAGUAAAUCUAUUAUAUCUUGGUAUUCUAGAAUUUCAGUCUCACAGAAGUUACUAUGUGUCCUGCUUUAGCUUGCAAACCUGAGGCUCUGCUGUCUGUUCUCAUUUCUUAACUUUGAAAUGUUUCAAACUUAAGAGUGCCCUCAUCCUCUAUUACAUAUGUAUGCACCUUGGUAAGAAAUAUAUUGGUCUUGUAAAUAUCAUUGGGAAGUAUAUCUGCUUCUGUAUGUUCUUGCAAGCAUUAAAUGUUGCUGACAUUCUCACUAAAGAAUGUCCCUCCAGCACAUUCCUUUGAAAUGUGACCUUGAGUCAAGCUCCAAGAAGAUAUUCAAGAGAUCUGCAUCUGCUCUGGAUGCUCAUGUACAAGAUACUAAGUUAUUGGUUGUGUUAUUCUGGUUGGUACUAUCUUAUAAACAUGUGGUCUAAUGAUACUGCUGGGACAAAUUUGAUGAAAUGCUAUGCUGUUUCCUGUUUGUUCAUUCUGCUGUGUUAUUUUGUGAUCCUGUGGUGUAAUGAUAUUGUUGUGUUAUUUUCAGAAUUAUAUUAUUAUUACCAUUAUAUUA
This is a long non-coding RNA of Triticum aestivum (bread wheat), 2574 nucleotides long. RefSeq lists it as uncharacterized. The record is from RefSeq and is a predicted model, not a curated record. The transcript is spliced from 3 exons. NCBI's taxonomy places the organism in Eukaryota, Viridiplantae, Streptophyta, Magnoliopsida, Poales, Poaceae.